Molecule: ribosomal RNA, 404 nt
Filed under: uncultured prokaryote
Also listed under: 1 other name
Description: bacterial SSU rRNA
Rfam family: Bacterial small subunit ribosomal RNA
Source: RNAcentral
UGGGGAAUAUUGCGCAAUGGGGGGAACCCUGACGCAGCAACGCCGCGUGAAGGAAGAAGGCCUUCGGGUUGUAAACUUCUUUGAUCGGGGACGAAGAUGACGGUACCCGAGGAACAAGCCACGGCUAACUACGUGCCAGCAGCCGCGGUAAUACGUAGGUGGCGAGCGUUGUCCGGAAUUACUGGGUGUAAAGGGCGUGUAGGCGGGGGAGCAAGUCGGAUGUGAAAUUCCUAGGCUUAACCUGGGCGCUGCAUCUGAAACUGUUUCUCUUGAGUACUGGAGAGGAAAGUGGAAUUCCCAGUGUAGCGGUGAAAUGCGUAGAGAUUGGGAGGAACACCAGUGGCGAAGGCGGCUUUCUGGACAGUAACUGACGCUGAGGCGCGAAAGCGUGGGGAGCAAACAGG